This 65-nucleotide transfer RNA is filed under the name Dipodomys ordii (Ord's kangaroo rat). It matches the Rfam family "tRNA". Rfam says of the family: Transfer RNA (tRNA) molecules are approximately 80 nucleotides in length. Their secondary structure includes four short double-helical elements and three loops (D, anti-codon, and T loops). Further hydrogen bonds mediate the characteristic L-shaped molecular structure. tRNAs have two regions of fundamental functional importance: the anti-codon, which is responsible for specific mRNA codon recognition, and the 3' end, to which the tRNAs corresponding amino acid is attached (by aminoacyl-tRNA synthetases). tRNAs cope with the degeneracy of the genetic code in two manners: having more than one tRNA (with a specific anti-codon) for a particular amino acid; and 'wobble' base-pairing, i.e. permitting non-standard base-pairing at the 3rd anti-codon position. The record is from Rfam by way of RNAcentral. Lineage: Eukaryota; Metazoa; Chordata; Mammalia; Rodentia; Heteromyidae.
GGUGGCUCAGUGGUAGAGCUCUUGCCUUGCAUGCAAAGGGCCUUGGGUUCGAUUCCCCAGCACCA